This is a long non-coding RNA of Megalopta genalis, 3527 nucleotides long. RefSeq lists it as uncharacterized. NCBI's taxonomy places the organism in Eukaryota, Metazoa, Arthropoda, Insecta, Hymenoptera, Halictidae. The record is from RefSeq and is a predicted model, not a curated record.
GAUAUUCUCACCGCACGUGGGUCGUUCGCGACUCGCGUAGCCUCGAUUUUAGCGCUUCGAUUGACUCGCUUGUAUCGGCGACGAUUACUCACCGCUUUCUGUCCGUCGCUGACUCGUUUCUUUACAGAUUUCUUCCUAUGACACUCGUCGCGAACGACAACACUGUAAAUCCUUACCAGAUACUGGAAAUCACUGGAACGCGACUAGAGUCAUUUGAACGCACGUGUAAGAUUGCCAGUAAAUCGCCCGCUCGCGGAGCUGCGCGUGCGUUCUUGUUCCUUUGGUCACGUGGCUCGAAUGUCACUGAUGGACGAAGGAAAGACGCUAAAGCGGUGUCCACAAAUUGCUACCUGUAGACUGGCGCUACUGUAUCUACGAUACGAGGCGGAAACGCAAAAUAUCAUCCAGUUUCUGCGAGGCGAUCAUGGCAGCUGAAUCUAUAGCGCAUGCUGCUGCACUCCUUUAUCCCGAUUCUUCGAAUUUUAACGAAUAUUGAAAGAUAACGAUGAUGACAAUGUUCAGGUUUCUUUAGACGUAUUCAAUCGUGCCGUGAUUGUGAGUUUGUACAUCAUCCCGAGGAAAUAUUGAUAUGAAAUCAGAGGAAAAACUGUUUUGAAAAAAUUUUCAAGUUUCGCAGUCAUUCAAACUUGGUUAAAAUAGAUUAAUUGUUACAUUAGCUAGCUUUCUGAAGUAUGAGGAUCCUUGAACAAUUUUUUAUAUGUAGAUUAACAGGAAAAUGUUUAGGAAAAAGAUGAUUCUGAAGGAACAAAGUUUUGGAAAAAAAUCGAUAGAAGUUUGUAUGUUUCCAUUACAGACAUGUAACAGCCAAGACGUUUCCACGAUUCUAUUGCAGUACGAAGAUGAAGUAUAACGUUGAAAAAUUCUAUUUCGAUUGAAAGCAUUUCUAUUUAUAAAUUCUGGUACUUUAUACCGGGAAUGCCAUGCUUCGUAAAAUUGCUCGCACGGUAUUCGUUGUCCUAUGAUAAAUGAAUUCAGAACUUUCAACAAUUAAAAAAGUUUCACUUCCAAGUCUGUUCAUCAUUCGAUAAUUAUACUAAUGCUUGUAAGCAGAAGAAGGAACCCCAGUCGCGCAGGAUCGCGCCAAUCAAAAGCCAGAGAAAUAGAGGAUAUACUUACGCUAAGUAUGUAACACCGGGAUCGUCUCACAGAAACCGUUCGAUCACUAUCUUCGCCGUGGAUCGGCAAGAUCAUUUACAACAGAAUGUCCGAAAAUCGUAGCAGCACGAGCCGAUGAUUCCUCACUCGCGGUCUCGAUUACUUUACACACGCACUUUCGUGGAUGCCGUGAAACGUCGCUUGGCGUCUUCGUCACUGAUAUUCGACAGUCUAUUGUCUUCUGUUCGUUUCCGGUCCCCUACCGAUCGUCACGCAUUAUCUUCAUCUCCUUCCCGCUCGAAUCUCUCGAUCCGCUUUUGUUCUUUCACGCCGCGUUCGCUGUCCCUCGGCCUGCCCCUUUUCGACGGUGGCCCUGCCGUUCUCGGCUGCGAUCGACUUCAACCUCAACCACGUUCAGAUCGGACGCACCGCGCCCACUGAUAACAAUGCAUCCAGAUACCGCGAGAUUCGCACGUACACGCAACGUGUCUGAUACUCGAGCGAUAUGCAGCGCAGCGAGAUAAUGUUGCAUCGUCUGGUGGCCGCGCGCGCUGUACGCUUCUCACACCGCGACACUUUGCUCCCUAAUUAUUCGAUGAAUCCAGCCUUUCUGGGCGUCCGCGAAGACGCGUCAAAAACAGAGAUAACGAACGCUUCGUGUCCCGAUGAUAUCUGUCUUCUCCGUGGAAUCUCCGACCGUCUUACGAUUACUAUUGUCCGCGCAAUUGCGAAACGAGGGGGUUUUUCUCAACGGCCUCUGCGAUUUUUCCGAUUAGAUUAGAUAUUGUCGAUGGUUUCAUUCGCGUCAUCGUCACAGGUUGUUAGCCGUUAUUCUGUGUUUAAAUCACUGUAAGGUUUAUUAGCCGAGGUUUAUUGUUUAAAUGAGAUCUCUGAGAUAGUUUUUAAUGAAAUGGUUAGGAAGGUUAGGAAAUGGAAGGGAAUACUUUUUGUAUUAUUUUAAUAUCAUUAUUAUAUAUUGUACAUACAUUGUACAUACGGUGAAUAUAAUUCCUAUUUGCAUUCCGAGAAACACAUUCAUUAUGGUUAAUAGAUUACUUACAACCAAUGAAGGCAUUCACGGAAGAUUGAUGAUGUAGACAUUAACGUGCGUGCAGCUGUAUGUUUUUAUUAUUUGUGCAUCAAGGACGGAGAUUAGCUGAGUUCAUAGAAGAUGAAUGUCCAGUAUCCUCUGAUCCGAAGUGUACGUAUUCGUGUUAACUAUUUGUGUCAUUUUAUUCGUUUUAGUUCAUUGAACACAGUUAAUAUUGCACGCUACGAAUUAUCUUUCAAUGGUUAUUCUGUGUUUCCGUUAUCAAUUUUUGCCGUAAGCGAAUUGAUUUACCAAUUGACAGUCCGUGUAGUUUGAACGAACAAUUUUUGCCAUAAUUGUCUACUGAUCAGCGAAGAAAGCAUGUUAUUAUCUAUUCGGCGUAGCUUUCGGUAUCGACGUUUCCAAAAAUAAAAAAAAAACACGCGCAGAAUAUUGUAAAGUCAGCCGAUACAUAAUAUCGUAACAGAAUUUAUACGGUGUAUUGCGAAUCGAAAAAUACACGCGGCGUGGCAGAAACGCGAUCUUAUCGCUUCAUUGCAAUUCUGGAAGUCGCGCGCUUAUCACACAAUACAUGAAAUCGUUCACAAAUUCUAUUAUCGUGCCCAAUAACGCGGAUCGUGCGGCGGCAUUUGCAUGCGCGCCACGCAAUUCAUUGAGUUUCGCUGGUAAAAAUUAUCAAUGAUACGGCAAGAUUGUGAACGUAUCGAUUCGAAGUUUACAGUAACCACCGGGAUAUCGGUGGAAUUUCUGCUAACGAAAAUUACGGAUACCGAUAGUUCUGUUCACGGGCCGCGAUGCUUUCUCUCCGGAUUACAUGCAACGGGGCUGCUUUUCACUGCACAUUUUUUAAUAUAUGCAAGGUCGCAUUGUGUGCCGCGGAUAAAGCGGGACCGAUGAAUAAAAGAAUGCAGGUAUCGUUGUUUUCCCUUUUUCCGGCAUAUAGGACUUCGAUAUGUUCUUUUCCUUUUUCUUUUUUUUUUCUUUUAUUCAUCCGAUCUCGCAGCACCAUAGAAAACACUCGUGUCGAUCAAGGGGGAAUUCCCGAGUUGUGAAUGCGCCAUGAAAGUCUAUGUAUACUCGUGCGACAACGGAGUUAUAACAAUAGAUACGCGAACGCUCUCUGGUCAAAGAAAAUAGAUAUUAUCAAUCGAAUGAUUUCUCUCGGAGAUUGUAGAUUUAUUUUCGAGUACUAUCUGUUCGCGGUCAAAAGCAAUCUUGGAUUAAUAGAUAUAUUUAUUGUUAAACUGCAACGUGCAAUGAAUCCACUACGACCUCGCUGGAAACGUGAAACAGGAAUUGCGAUUGUUAGACGUGUUUUUAAUUGAAAUCAGAAGAAAAAUAAAGCUCUUAUCCCUCACUA